UGAAACCCCAUCUUUACUAAAAAUAUAAAUAUUAGCUGGGCGUGGUGGGGUGUGCCUGUAGUUGCAGCUACUCAGGAGGCUGAGGCAGGAGAAUCGUUUGAGCCCAGGAGGUGGAGGUUGCAGUGAGCCAAGAUCGCGCCACUGCACUCCAGCCUGGCAACAGAGUGAGACUCUGUCUCAAAAAAAAAACUAAAAAAAACAAAAACAUUAGCCAGGUAUGGUGGCACGUGCCCAUAGUCUCAGCUACUCAGGAAUCUGAGGCAGGCUUGAACCCGGGAGGUGGGGGUUGCUGCGAGCCAAGAUCGUGCCACUGCACUCCAGCCUGGGUGACAGAGUCCAAAAAAAUAAUAAUAAUAAAAUAUUUAUAAGUAUUUUAUAUAACAUUCCAUCAGCAUUUACACUUGUGAAAUCUCCAUCACAAAUCUUUGCUGAUUUUAGUGUUAGGAGCCCAGGUCUGAUGCUGACAACACUACUGAUUUUAAUUUCAAGGCAAUCAUUUUCAAUGCAGAAUUUUACCUUAGAUUAAGAAAUUCAGCUCCUUCUGUUAACUCAAAGGAUUUUAAUAAUUCUGCUGCUGUUAAUUUUUAUGUAAUAUUUUAAUUAUAGUAGCUUAAUAAAAUUCAUGAUUGUGUUGUUUUCAAGGGGAUUCUAAUAGUUAAAUAAGUUUUUGUUUAUAGACAUAAAUUUUAUGGCUUAAUAGUUUAUAAUCUUUUCCAAGAAAAUUGUAUUUUUCUAAAUUGUUUACUCGGGAAUAUUACUGUGCAAAGGCACACUAAAGUAGAUCCCACAGAAUGUUGAAUGUCCAUUUCCACCAGCUUAGUAUCUUAAAUCUUUGCUUCAAAGAAGUUCUUGCUCAGGAAGUUAUUCAUUCAGCAACCUAAAAUUGUUUUUUGAGUACAUAUCAAGCACAGGGUUCUGAGCAAUGUCUUAGGAAGACCAUAAAGGUGAAUAAAUGAGUGUUUCUACCCUGAGGAAUUUAUCAAAGAUGUUAAGUUAUCUCCUUAGAGGUAUAAGUCAUAUAGGCAUAUUCUAUGUAUACUAAAGGUGGUAUGGCAUAAGAGUACAUAUAGUCACCAACUUAGAAUUGUUUGACUUGGCCGGGCGCAGUGGCUCACGCCUGUAAUCCCAGCACUUUGGGAGGCCAAGGCAGGUGGAUCACGAGGUCAAGAGAUCGAGACUAUCCUGGCCAACAUGGUGCAACCCCAUCUCCACUAAAAAUACAAAAAUUACCUAGGCAUGGUGGUGCAUGCCUGUAGUCCCAGCUACUUGGGAGGCUGAGGCAGGAGAAUCACUUGAACCCAGGAGGCAGAGGUUGCAGUGAGCCGAGAUCGCGCCACUGCACUCCAGCCUGGUGACAGAGCAAGACUCCAUCUCAAAAAAUAAUAAUAAUAAUAAUAAUAAUUCUUUGACUUAUGAUCUUUCAACUUCACAAUGGAGCGAAUGCUAUACACAUUCAGUAGAAAUUGGUACAAUAAUCCCUUGAUGCUGAGCAGCAGCAGUGAGCCACAGCUCCUGGUCAGCCGCAUGAUAACAAGGGCAGACAACUGAUACUCUACAGUUUACUGUGUUGAUAGGUUAUUUUGCUCAACUUUAGGCUAAUGUAAGUGUUUUCAGUACAUUUAAGGUAGUUUAGACUAAGCUAUGAUGUUUGGUAGGUUAGGUGUAUUGUAUCUAUUUUUGACUUAAUGAUAUUUUCAACUUUCGAUGAGUUUAUGGGGAAGUCACCCCAUGGCAAGCUGAGGAGCAUCUAUAUAAAGAGGUAAAAGAGCUCAAAGGAAAGAGGCAAAGAAUGCUUCUGGCUGGGAAAUUUGGAAAGCUUCUUGGUUUGGAUCUUGAAGAAUAAACAGUAUUUUGUCAGCUUGAAAUUUCUAAGAGGAGGCUAUUUCAUGCAAAGAAAAUGGUUUUAAGUUUGGAUUAUUGUGAAAAUGGAAGCAACAGUAAAGAGGGGAGGCUAGUCAAAAGGCAUAUAAUUUUUAAUGGGGAAAAACUAAAUAAAUUUUAAUAAAUUAGAGCCAAAAUGUAGCAACCAACUAGUCAUAGCUGUUGCUACUUUUACAGCAUUUGUAUAUCAUGAUUUAAAUUUAUAUAUGAUAUAAUAGCUAUAAUUUGUUUUCAGAUAUUGAAAGCAAAUAAAAGCAAUCUUUGUUUUGUGGUACAUUUUGUUGUGUUUUUUAACUUAUGUUUCAACAGGAACAAUAUAAACAGGCAUUCCCAUCACAGUUAAAGAAACAAGAGUCAUCGAAGAGCCUGAAGAAGGUUAUUGCAGCUUUGUCAAAUCCAAAAGCAACCUCUAGUUCACCAGCACAUCCAAAACAAACAUUAGAAAACAACCACCCAAAUCCAUUCUUGACAAAUGCACUUUUAGGUAAUCACCAACCAAAUGGAGUUAUUCAAAGUGUCAUUCAAGAAGCUCCUCUAGCACUUACUACCAAAACUAAAAUGCAGAGCAAGAUUAAUGAAAACAUUGCUGCUGCAAGUAGCACCCCUUUUUCCUCACCUGUAAAUCUGAGUACAAGUGGGAGAAGAACCCCUGGCAAUCAGACACCUGUAAUGCCCUCUGCCUCUCCCAUCCUGCAUAGUCAAGGGAAGGAAAAAGCAGUUAGCAAUAAUGUAAACCCAGUAAAAACACAGCAUCACUCCCAUCCUGCAAAAUCUUUAGUGGAACAAUUCAGAGGAACAGAUUCAGACAUUCCCAGUAGUAAAGAUUCUGAAGAUUCAAAUGAGGAUGAAGAGGAAGAUGAUGAAGAAGAAGAUGAGGAAGAUGAUGAAGAUGAUGAAUCUGAUGACAGCCAAUCAGAAUCAGAUAGUAAUUCAGAAUCAGAUACAGAAGGAUCAGAAGAAGAAGAUGAUGAUGAUAAAGACCAAGAUGAAUCAGAUAGUGAUACUGAAGGAGAGAAAACUUCAAUGAAACUGAAUAAAACAACUUCCUCUGUCAAAAGCCCUUCCAUGAGUCUCACAGGUCACUCAACACCUCGUAACCUCCACAUAGCAAAAGCCCCAGGCUCUGCUCCUGCUGCCUUAUGUUCUGAAUCCCAGUCACCUGCUUUUCUUGGUACAUCUUCUUCCACACUUACUUCAAGCCCACACUCUGGCACUUCCAAAAGAAGAAGAGUAACAGAUGAACGUGAACUGCGUAUUCCAUUGGAAUAUGGCUGGCAGAGAGAGACAAGAAUAAGAAACUUUGGAGGGCGCCUUCAAGGAGAAGUAGCAUAUUAUGCUCCAUGUGGAAAGAAACUUAGGCAGUACCCUGAAGUAAUAAAGUAUCUCAGCAGAAAUGGAAUAAUGGAUAUCUCAAGGGACAAUUUCAGCUUCAGUGCAAAAAUAAGAGUGGGUGACUUCUAUGAAGCCAGAGAUGGACCGCAGGGAAUGCAGUGGUGUCUUUUGAAAGAAGAGGAUGUCAUUCCUCGUAUCAGGGCAAUGGAAGGUCGUAGAGGAAGACCACCAAAUCCAGAUAGACAACGAGCAAGAGAGGAAUCCAGGAUGAGACGUCGGAAAGGUCGACCUCCAAAUGUUGGCAAUGCUGAAUUCCUAGAUAACGCAGAUGCAAAGUUGCUAAGAAAACUGCAAGCUCAAGAAAUAGCCAGGCAAGCAGCACAAAUAAAGCUUUUGAGAAAACUUCAAAAGCAGGAACAGGCUCGGGUUGCUAAAGAAGCCAAAAAACAACAAGCAAUAAUGGCUGCUGAGGAGAAGCGGAAGCAAAAAGAACAGAUAAAGAUUAUGAAACAGCAGGUAUGUGUAUACAUUGGAAGUGACUUUUAAAAUAUGGGACUUAUUUUGAGGAUUUGUUAGUAAUGUACAUUAUUUUUGAUUUCUUAAAUAACUAUAUUUCACAUUAAUAUUUGUGUCUUAUUUAGAAAGUUGCUAUCUUCUAUUAAUUAAAAUUUUACCUUUUUAAUAAAGUCUUCUACUUCCAAGUGUUUAAAGAAAUGAUUACCAAACAGUAAAUUUGUGUAAGUACUUUAAUAUCCUGGUAGACUUUGUAUAAGUUGAUAUCUUGAACAAUUUUCAGAAUUUUUAAAUUAAUGUAUCAGUCAAUGAAGUAUAUUGCUCGAAUGUUCAAAUUUUAAUAAAAGCUUGUUUUUCUUAAACAUGUAAAAUAUUAGUAGAAAAUUAAAUUCAAGUUAUACAAAAUAAGAUUUGCCUUCAUUGCUUCUUAAUGCUUUCAGGAUUACUUAAAAGUUGCCACUGCAAAAAAAAAAAAAAAAA
Molecule: long non-coding RNA, 4206 nt
Filed under: Homo sapiens (human)
Lineage: Eukaryota; Metazoa; Chordata; Mammalia; Primates; Hominidae
Description: non-protein coding lnc-WDSUB1-2:1
Source: RNAcentral